AGCGAACGCUGGCGGCAGGCUUAACACAUGCAAGUCGAACGCCCCGCAAGGGGAGUGGCAGACGGGUGAGUAACACGUGGGAACGUAACCUUUGGUUCGGAAUAACUUGGGGAAACUCAAGCUAAUACCGGAUAAGCCCUUAUGGGGAAAGGUUUACUGCCGAAGGAUCGGCCCGCGUCUGAUUAGCUAGUUGGUGAGGUAAUGGCUCACCAAGGCGACGAUCAGUAGCUGGUCUGAGAGGAUGAUCAGCCACACUGGGACUGAGACACGGACCAGACUCCUACGGGAGGUAGCAGUGGGGAAUAUUGGACAAUGGGGGCAACCCUGAUCCAGCCAUGCCGCGUGAGUGAUGAAGGCCUUAGGGUUGUAAAGCUCUUUUACCCGGGACGAUAAUGACUGUACCGGGAGAAUAAGCCCCGGCUAACUUCGUGCCAGCCGCCGCGGUAA
Molecule: ribosomal RNA, 447 nt
Filed under: uncultured bacterium
Lineage: Bacteria
Description: partial 16S ribosomal RNA
Rfam family: Bacterial small subunit ribosomal RNA
Source: RNAcentral